This 1539-nucleotide long non-coding RNA is filed under the name Mytilus galloprovincialis (Mediterranean mussel). Lineage: Eukaryota; Metazoa; Mollusca; Bivalvia; Mytilida; Mytilidae. The record is from RNAcentral.
AAACUAGAGGCUCUAAAGAGCAUGUGUCGCUCACCUUGGUCUAUGUGAAUAUUAAACAAUGGACACAGAUGGAUUCAUGACAAAAUUGUGUUUUGGUGAUGGUGAUGUGUUUGUAGAUCUUACUUUAUUAAACAUUCUUGCUGCUUACAAUUAUCUCUAUCUAUAACAGUACUUUCUGUGGAAAAUGUUAUUGAAAAUCUUCAAAUUUUAAGAAAAUUGUUAAAAAUUGACUAUGAAGGGCAAUAACUCCUUAGGGGGUCAAUUGACUAUUUUGGUCAUACUGACUUAUUUUUAGUUCUUACUUUGCUGUACAUUAUUGCUGUUUACAGUUUAUCUCUAUCUAUAAUAAUAUUCAAGAUAAUAACAAACUAGAGGCUCUAAAGAGCCUGUGUCGCUCACCUUGGUCUAUGUGCAUAUUAAACAAAGGACACAAAUGGAUUCAUGACAAAAUUGUAUUUUGGUGAUGGUGAUGUGUUUGAAGUUCUUACUUUCUGAACGAUUUUGCUUCUUACAAUAUUAUCUAUAAUGAACUUUGCCCAUUAGUAACAGAGAACUAUAUUUGGUAAAAAUUUACAUAAAUUUACCAAAUUAAUGAAAAUUGUUAAAAAUUGACUAUAAAGGGCAAUAACUCCUUAAGGGAUCAAUUGACCAUUAAGGUCAUGUUGACUUAUUUGUAGAUCUUACUUUGCUGAACAUUAUUGCUGUUUACAGUUUAUCGCUAUCUAUAAUAGUAUUCAAGAUAACCAAAAACGGCAAAAUUUCUUUAAAAAUUACCAUUUGGAGGGCAGCAACCCAACAACCAGUUGUCCAAUUCAUCUGAAAAAUUCAGGGCAGAUAGAUAUUGACUUGAUUAACAAAUUAACUUCUUGUCAGAUUUGCUCUAAAUGCUUUGGUUUCAUAGUUAUAAGCCAAAAACUGCAUUUUACCCCUAUGUUUUAUUUUUAGCUGUGGCGGCCAUCUUAGUUGGUUGACCAAGUCAUGCCACACAUUUUUUAAACUAGAUACCCCAAAGAUGAUUGUGGCCAAGUUUGGAUUAGUUUGGCCCAGUAGUUUCAGAGGAGAAGAUUUUUGUAAAAGAUUACUUUAAUUUACGAAAAAAUGGUUAAAAAUUUACUAUAAAGGGCAAUAACUCCUAAACAGGUCAACUGACCAUUUUCGUCAUGUUGACCUUUUUGUAGAUCUUACUUUGAUGAACAUUAUUGCUGUUUACAGUUUAUCUCUAUCUAUAAUAAUAUUCAAGAUAAUAACCAAAAACAGCAAAAUUUCCUCAAAAUUACCAAUUCAGGGGCAAACCAACAACGGGUUGACUGAUUCAACUGAAAAUUUCAGGGCAGAUAGAUAUUGACUUGAUUAACAAUUUAACUUCUUGUCAGAUUUGCUCUAAAUGCUUUGGUUUCAUAGUUAUAAGCCAAAAACUGCAUUUUACCCCUAUGUUCUAUUUUUAGCUGUGGCGGCCAUCUUAGUUGGUUGACCAGGUCACGCCACACAUUUUUUAAACUAGAUACCCCAAAGAUGAUUGUGGCCAAGUUUGGAUUAAUU